RNAcentral lists this unclassified non-coding RNA (253 nucleotides) under uncultured Pirellulaceae bacterium. RNAcentral describes it as "contains 16S-23S intergenic spacer region". It matches the Rfam family "Bacterial small subunit ribosomal RNA", at positions 524 to 776 of the family's 1533-position model. Lineage: Bacteria; Pseudomonadati; Planctomycetota; Planctomycetia; Pirellulales; Pirellulaceae. The record is from RNAcentral.
GACGAACCGUCCGAACGUUAUUCGGUAUCACUGGGCUGAAAGCGUGCGUAGGCGGUCUGGUAGGUGGGGUGUGAAAUCCCUCGGCUCAACCGAGGAAUAGCGCUCCAAACCCCUAGACUUGAGGAAGACAGGGGUGAGUGGAACCGUUGGUGGAGCGGUGAAAUGUGUUGAUAUCAACAGGAACACCGGUGGCGAAAGCGACUCACUGGGUCUUUUCUGACGCUGAGGCACGAAAGCCAGGGGAGCGAACGGG